RNAcentral lists this transfer RNA (74 nucleotides) under Columba rupestris. RNAcentral's name for it is "tRNA-Glu". Lineage: Eukaryota; Metazoa; Chordata; Aves; Columbiformes; Columbidae. The record is from RNAcentral.
AGUUUCUGUAGUUGAGGUUUACAACGGCGGCUUUUCAGGCCGCAGUCCUUGGAGAAAGGCCAAGCAGAAACUGC